This 403-nucleotide ribosomal RNA is filed under the name uncultured bacterium. RNAcentral describes it as "partial 16S ribosomal RNA". It matches the Rfam family "Bacterial small subunit ribosomal RNA", at positions 29 to 526 of the family's 1533-position model. The record is from RNAcentral.
AUUGAACGCUGGCGGCAGGCCUAACACAUGCAAGUCGAGCGAGCGGCGGACGGGUGAGUAAUGUAUGGGGACUGCCCGAUAGAGCGGGAUAACUACUGGAAACGGUGGCUAAUACCGCAUACUAUCGGAUAACCCAUAUGGGAUUAGGUAGUGGGGGGGGUAAAGGCACACAUAGGCGACGAUCUCUAGCUGGUCUGAGAGGAUGAUCAGCCACACUGGUACUGAGACACGGCCCAGACUCCGACGGAGGCAGCAGUGGGGAAUAUUGCGCAAUGGGCGAAAGCCUGAGGCAGCCAGGCCGCGUGUAUGAAGAAGGCCUUAGGGUUGUAAAGUACUGUCAGCGGGGAGGCGUUACCCACAGAAGAAGCACCGGCUAACUCCGUGCCAGCAGCCGCGGUAAUAC